This 468-nucleotide ribosomal RNA is filed under the name uncultured bacterium. RNAcentral's name for it is "partial 16S ribosomal RNA". It matches the Rfam family "Bacterial small subunit ribosomal RNA", at positions 28 to 507 of the family's 1533-position model. The record is from RNAcentral.
GACGAACGCUGGCGGCGUGCUUAACACAUGCAAGUCGAACGGAAAGGCCCUGCUUUUGUGGGGUGCUCGAGUGGCGAACGGGUGAGUAACACGUGAGUAACCUGCCCUUGACUUUGGGCUAACUUCUGGAAACUGGGGCUAAUACCGGAUAGGAGCUCCUGCUGCAUGGUGGGGGUUGGAAAGUUUCGGCGGUUGGGGAUGGACUCGCGGCUUAUCAGCUUGUUGGUGGGGUAGUGGCUUACCAAGGCUUUGACGGGUAGCCGGCCUGAGAGGGUGACCGGGCACAUUGGGACUGAGAUACGGCCCAGACUCCUACGGGAGGCAGCAGUGGGGAAUAUGGCACAAUGGGCGGAAGCCAGAUGCAGCAACGCCGCGUGCGGGAUGACGGCCUUCGGGUUGUAAACCGCUUUCGCCUGUGACGAAGCGUGAGUGACGGUAAUGGGUAAAGAAGCACCGGCUAACUACGUG